GUUCCUGUAGCGCAAUGGAUAGCACGUUGAACUUCUAAUCCAAAGGUCGUGGGGUCGAAUCCCACCUGGAAUG
RNAcentral lists this transfer RNA (73 nucleotides) under Trichonephila inaurata madagascariensis. It matches the Rfam family "tRNA". From Rfam's summary of the family: Transfer RNA (tRNA) molecules are approximately 80 nucleotides in length. Their secondary structure includes four short double-helical elements and three loops (D, anti-codon, and T loops). Further hydrogen bonds mediate the characteristic L-shaped molecular structure. tRNAs have two regions of fundamental functional importance: the anti-codon, which is responsible for specific mRNA codon recognition, and the 3' end, to which the tRNAs corresponding amino acid is attached (by aminoacyl-tRNA synthetases). tRNAs cope with the degeneracy of the genetic code in two manners: having more than one tRNA (with a specific anti-codon) for a particular amino acid; and 'wobble' base-pairing, i.e. permitting non-standard base-pairing at the 3rd anti-codon position. Lineage: Eukaryota; Metazoa; Arthropoda; Arachnida; Araneae; Nephilidae. The record is from Rfam by way of RNAcentral.